AAUUUAAUGCGAAAAUAACGGGGCUCCUUUGGGUAGAUGCUAACGACUUCGUACGGGAAUAUGCAUCAUUGCUCCUCACUAUAUAUAUAUAUAUAUAUGUACACAUAUGUAUCUAUGUAUAUAUAUAUGUAUAUAUAUGUAUGUAAUGUACACACGUGUUUCUCAUCGUGUCACCCGGUUCAUAUCCACCUAUUUGUAAGAGAGACCGUAGAAACAGUCGCGUGUCCUUCUUCUCACUUAACCCCCACUGCCUCCUACCCCUUCCCGACCCUCCACCGCUUUAACGUUCUACUCUAUCCUUUUUCUCUGUCUCUCUCUCUCUCUCUCUCUCUCUCUCUCUCUCUCUUUUCUUCCUUUCUCUUUAUUUUUACUGUUUUAACUGCGGGAUACCGGUGACGGGUCACGUGUCGUGAGAUCUCCACCUUCACGAAUUUGCACGUACGCCUUGCUUCGAACAAGAUCUUCAUCCCUUACGUCAUUCCCGCCUGCAACAAAACGAAUGGACUUCGAAAGAUCACGAUUAACGAAAUGAUCAAUGCGAGAAUCUAAUCGAAUUUAACUCGUCUUCACGUAUAUCCCACCGACUGGAAUCUAAGGUGGACCCUUAGAUUCACUCGUUCCUAACCUUCAAUGAGAAACAUAUAUUGCGUAGAAUGAACGAAGAUAUAAAUAAACUUGAAUAAGCACG
This is a long non-coding RNA of Vespa velutina, 688 nucleotides long. RefSeq lists it as uncharacterized. Lineage: Eukaryota; Metazoa; Arthropoda; Insecta; Hymenoptera; Vespidae. The record is from RefSeq and is a predicted model, not a curated record. The transcript is spliced from 3 exons.